Long non-coding RNA from Sinocyclocheilus grahami, 2166 nucleotides. Lineage: Eukaryota; Metazoa; Chordata; Actinopteri; Cypriniformes; Cyprinidae. The record is from Ensembl.
UAUUAAUCAAGCAUCAUCAGUUCCCAACAUGGUUCAAGUGUUGUGUAAUACAGUAGACUGAACCGAGUGGGCCACCAUAUUAGUUUCCUGUUCCAGCGAUCCCCUAAAAUAGCUCUACUGCGAUUGCUCUGGCACACAGGCGCCAUAUUGAGCCUUGAAAACCUCCAUGCAUGAUCUACCAAAAAACAGCCUGGAUUUAUCCUCCAUCCACCAUGGAAUGACAUGGCCUUGGCUGGGAUUGUGAGUCAGGCUUUCUUUAGAAUGAUAGUCUAGAAUAGUUCCAAAUGCAACAUUUUAACUGCAUUCAAAUUGCAGCUGAAGAGCCAUACAAAACCUUUUAAGUCCUACAAGUAUUAAGAGUAUUCUACCUAAAUGAGAACAUGGCUAAUCUAUGGCAGGUUAUAGUUGUGGCAUUAAUGUACUUUUGCACAUUGCUGAAAAGAAGUUUAGAACAGAUACAGAGAUGUUUGUGCUUUAAAAAUAGUUUAAAUUGGGUUCAGUUCAGACAGGCAGAUUCUGAUGCUGUAGAAGAGAAGUCUGAUAACCUACAGGCAGACAUCUGGAGAACAAAUCAAGAGUACAGGACCUAUCGGCACCAGAGUAAUGGACAAAUGAUAAUGGUGCAAACCAGCACACAUACUUUCCAUGUGAGUAUCUACAAAUAAACCACAGACUGUGUAACAACCUUGGCCCACAAACACAUGAUGUCAUGCUUAUUGGCACUUACUUCCAGGUGGAUCUGGAGAAGCUUGCAGACUGCAGCGAGUAUUUCAAGGCUCUGUCCCACUCCUGCAUGAGAGAGACAUCUGAACAGCUGGUACACCUUGAACAUGUUCCUACAGCGGUUCUGCAUUUCUGGAGACCUCCUUGGGGAACACCUACGGGUGAGCACUUACCUGCUUGCUUACGGGUUCACCAAUCAUCUACUGAUUGCCCUCUCUCAGGCCCUAACAGAGCACACCUGCUUAGGCUAUCUACAGCUGGCUGAGGAACUCUGCAGUGAGGAGCUCCAAGAGACUGUGCUAACCUACCUGAGCAAGUAUCUACUGGAGCGUCCACACCUGAGCCAGGGCUUGGAUCCACACCUUAAAGCAAAGCUUCUCAGAUUAAGGUCAAAGGGUACUUCACACUUAUGCUGCUUGAGAAAGGAGAACUUGACCUCAAGGAAUGACCUGGAAACAGAUGCUGCUCGAAAGCUCUUCAGGCUGGAGGAAGACAAGGAUUAUGGGAAAUGGAGUUCUCUCACAGAUCUGCCUUUUUGUGCAGAUAAGUGGUGCUUCACCACAGCGGUUCUCUAUAAUUACCUCUAUCUCAUAGGGGGUUAUAGACACCGUGUAAAGAAGGGCUAUGAGUUCAAGAUGGCUUCCUUCCGCUACAACCCUUUUACCAAUCAAUGGGUAUCAACAGCUCCUCUGAUUAAGCACAGGCGUCACUUCAGUGCAGCUGUGUGUGAGGGGAGAAUCUUUGCUGUAGGCGGCUGGUAUCUGGAUUCCCUUGUGACUCCUGACUCCGGCACAGGCGUCUACACUGCUGUGGAGAAGUAUGAUCCGUGGAAAGACACCUGGGAAUUUGUUUCCUCUCUCCCUCUGACAGACUUCCAGUUCAGCCUGUCCCUGUCCCAUGAUUCCCCACUUACAACCAGCCUGGGACACUGCCUCUAUGUACUGGGGAACAUCCAGAGAACUGGAGAGAAACUGGUGUUGCACUACGAUACUAGACAAGAUUGCUGGUGUGAGCUGCUCCCCACACUAACCCGCUCCAGAGCAGACCUCCCCAUCUUGAACUUCCUGGGUGCUGCUAAUAAUCAGUUGGUUGUAAUUGGAGGGAACAAUUCUGAAACCAUGGUGACAUCUUUCUGUGUGGACUCUCAGAAGUGGGGCCAUAUCAGAGCAAUGGAGAAGACCACUUUAAUUGGCCAGGGCACCAUUCUGCAUAAUGAGGUCUACAUGUCAGGGAUGAAGGACAAUUCUGUAGUUAAACUGAACCUGCAUUCACUGUCCCUCUGUCCUCUUCCUUCCCUUCCUGUCACCACCUGCUACGAGAGCGUUUUCCACCUCUACUUCUGACCUUCUUUUUCUUCUUGUUUAAUUGCAACAAAAUGUAACAAAAUAUUUCAUAAAUAAAUGUAUCAACUUGUGUAAAGUAAAGCAUUUUGUGAGAACCUCU